This 398-nucleotide long non-coding RNA is filed under the name Bos indicus x Bos taurus (hybrid cattle). RNAcentral describes it as "lncRNA (ENSBIXG00000016134.1)". The record is from RNAcentral. Lineage: Eukaryota; Metazoa; Chordata; Mammalia; Artiodactyla; Bovidae.
GAUUUCUCUACAAGAAGAAAGACAAAUCAUAGAAAUUGGCAGGCUGCAUGGUGAUCCAGUUGAGAAAAGAAUGUGACUGCACCAUACUUCUGCUAAGAGUCUUGCUAAUUCACUCAACAAGGGAUAUCCCAAAUGUGUGGAAAAAGAGCCAGGCAUCCCAUUCUAGAUUUGAUGUGGAUGACAGGUUUGACAGGAAGAAUAUGAUUUACAGAUUGAAGAAUAGGAUAUCAAAUUUGUUGAGAGAAGUCUAUUGGCAUUUCACUUCACUUGUCAGGCUGCAUAUAAAGGCAAAGAUUGGAGAUCUACAAGUGAAAAGAAAUAUUUCAACAGACAAUGCCUGGUACUUUGAAUCUGAUCACUUUACAAACAAGCAGAUGCUUUCUCUAUUGUACGGAUGA